This 574-nucleotide unclassified non-coding RNA is filed under the name Hevea brasiliensis (rubber tree). Lineage: Eukaryota; Viridiplantae; Streptophyta; Magnoliopsida; Malpighiales; Euphorbiaceae. The record is from RNAcentral.
GCUUUUCGUGGAUUGUUAAUGCGGGUAUGAACCUGCAAGACAAAAGAAAAAACACUAGAUGGGUUACCUUAAACAACCUCUCCUAUACUUAAGUCGGUGAUUGGAACUGAGAUUGAAAAUAAUUGACUAGAGAGAAUUGCGUACCUAACUAUGGAGGCUUGAGCCCCUUAUAUAGGCAUCAAGUAGACUCUUAUUUGGAUGAUGAGAAUGAUUAUAGUGAUUAUAGUAGGUUUCUAUCUUAGAGGAAGUCCAAUUAUAGUGGGAUUAAGAAUCUAGAUAAAUAGAGAUGCUGAUUCUCAGUGAAUAAUAUUUAUAUUUUGGACUGCUAUUGUAUCAUUUAUUUGCACCGCACAUUUUUUUUUACUGAUAUUGGAAGAGAUAUAUUCUAAGGGGCUCCCUUUAUUUUAUAGGUGGUUUUGAGCCUUAAAUACAGAGUUUGGGUUGUGGGUUUUCCUUAUUGUUGACUGCUGCUAUAAUAGUUUUUAUUUUAAAAAACUGAGAUUUUAGAUGGACCUUUCUUUGUGACUUUCCUUUAUCAGAUCUUCUAAAUGCUACUACAUAUGUGUAAAUGAUA